CGGCCGAGGGCGCCUGGCCGAGUCCUGGCGGCGGCUGAGCUCCCGGCGCGGCUCCAAGCGCACCGGACCCUCCUCGCCCGCGCUGGCGCUGAGAUGAAUUCUUACCCCAGCCAGAACCCUGAAUGAGAUUCAGGUUGCAAGUGUUUCGGCAGAAUUGAAAGCAUGGUACCAGGAAUGUGAGAGGUCAGAAAUUCUGGCCUAAUCUUUUGCCUUAUUUCAUUGCAAGAGAGGUCACAAUUGAACUGCUGAAUUGUUACUCCUGCAGAGAGAGAACCGAAAUUUUUUGUUGAACACAGUCAUCCAUUCGCCAGACACUGUGGGAUGUGUCUGGAGAACAUUGGCAAAAAAAAAAUAAAAUUCAUUACUGUUGUAGAAAAACACACAGUUAAGACAUGCAUAAAUUGUACAGGCUACAGUCUACCUAUGGCAGCAGGAGGACUUAGAAACAAAUUUUUUACAAUGAAAAAAGAACUCAAUGCUUCAAGUCAAAUAUUUAGGCUAUUAAAUUCUGAAUCAGAGUUCUUUCUGUUGAAAUGAAUUUUAUUUGUGUACAGUGAAGUAUAUAUCUGAUUUUUGCAUAUCGCAUAAAAUUUUCCACUGAAAUGUAAUUCUACUUGACAGCAUCACAUGAGAACUGAUUCACACGCACAGAUAUUCAAGAUUAGAUUACAGCCCAUAGUAAUACAUAAUUUUGUUGCAGCCUUGUUGGAAAACAGCUCCUGACUUGCAAAUAAGCCUUGAGCAGAGUCCUCAGAGAGCAGAAAUAAUCUGUCUAAGCAGUGUGGAAGAACAAAUAUUAGUCUUCUGUGCUUCAAGGGACCUAUGUGCAGAAUGUGAUUUCAGUUUCUCACCUAUCAUUUCUUCUGAAUUUUUUGCUCAAGUGUUAACAAGUUAACACUUGUUAAAAGUGUUCCGCAGUAGUACAGGUGCUGGACCCCUGCAGAGCUUCAUUGUGUUUUCUUCUGUGACAGAGCUUAUUUCUCAGAUGGCAGUGAUCUAUUUCAUGAAGUUCUGUGUGUGACCACAGCAACUCUUGAUUUACCCUGAGUAAUACAGGCUAUUGUCAGUGUACUGUCAUCUCCACAGUUUUCCUGCCAUGAUACUUGGAGAAUUUUGGUUCCUCUUUACCUGCAGUCUCAGUGUGUUACUACGAGUGGGUUGGGCUGUUCUUGCUUAGCCAGGAUAGUACCUGGAAUGGAAGCAUAAAACUAGUUUGUUGGUGGUCAGGCAAAUAGCAGUAAAAUCUAAACAUUCAGAAGAAAGAAAAACAGCAAUUAUUUGCCAUUUCUGACUUUGGCUGUACUUUAUGAGCUAAUAUAGUUACACUACAUGAA
Molecule: long non-coding RNA, 1334 nt
Organism: Hirundo rustica (Barn swallow)
Lineage: Eukaryota; Metazoa; Chordata; Aves; Passeriformes; Hirundinidae
Exons: 4
Source: RefSeq, a predicted model, not a curated record